AGUUCGGACUGUAGGCUGCAACUCGCCUACACGAAGCUGGAAUCGCUAGUAAUCGCGGAUCAGCACGCCGCGGUGAAUACGUUCCCGGGCCUUGUACACACCGCCCGUCACACCAUGAGAGUCUGUAACACCCAAAGCCGGUGGGAUAACCUUUAUAGGAGUCAGCCGUCUAAGGUAGGACAGAUGAUUAGGGUGAAGUCGUAACAAGGUAGC
RNAcentral lists this ribosomal RNA (213 nucleotides) under uncultured bacterium. Its description in RNAcentral is "partial 16S ribosomal RNA". It matches the Rfam family "Bacterial small subunit ribosomal RNA", at positions 1290 to 1500 of the family's 1533-position model. The record is from RNAcentral.